Molecule: long non-coding RNA, 561 nt
Organism: Patella vulgata (common limpet)
Lineage: Eukaryota; Metazoa; Mollusca; Gastropoda; Patellidae
Exons: 3
Source: RefSeq, a predicted model, not a curated record
UGGAAAAUAUUUUAUUUAGAGUAAUCCCCCCUUGUGUUUGACCUUGAACUCCUUGUUAUGGAUUGAGAAUUGUUGGUUGAUGGAUGUGCAAGGCUCACCACAGAAAAGGAUUUCGACUUUUACUAGACUUAGCAGAAAAUAUUUCAUCACAGUAGCCUUCCCGGUUAUUUCUUUCACCAUUAUUUUUCUGGAUUACAACAGAACAAGGAAAUUUAAGCUACAGAAACAAAGAGAAGAAGGAUUAAGAGCAACUGACAAUAAAAUCUAAAGCAAAAUGUUGAUGUUUCAACCCAGAUUUUUCAAAUACUAUGCAGGUCUUCUCCCUGUAUUUGCGGCAGUGUUUGCCGGUAAUUAUUAUGAUAAGAGAGCGGAAGAACUCAUUCUGUCCGAACCCAGAAGAGGAAAGUUAUUUGGACCCAAAAAAGAGGAGACUGAGGUUAUGGAAUAGGGGUGUAUUUAAUAAACAGAAAGACUUCUAAUAAUUAGAUGUGACAUAGUGCGAAGUACAAACUUUAUUCAAUAUGUGAGAAAUAUCAGAUUAAAUAUAUGUUGAUAUCUACA